This 24-nucleotide non-coding RNA is filed under the name Arabidopsis thaliana (thale cress). Lineage: Eukaryota; Viridiplantae; Streptophyta; Magnoliopsida; Brassicales; Brassicaceae. The record is from RNAcentral.
UAUCACAUCCUCCUACAAGUUCUC